RNAcentral lists this ribosomal RNA (454 nucleotides) under uncultured bacterium. Its description in RNAcentral is "bacterial SSU rRNA". It matches the Rfam family "Bacterial small subunit ribosomal RNA", at positions 346 to 793 of the family's 1533-position model. The record is from RNAcentral.
AGGCAGCAGUGAGGAAUAUUGGUCAAUGGAGGGAACUCUGAACCAGCCAUCCCGCGUGUAGGAAGACGGCCUUAUGGGGUUGUAAACUACUUUUAUACAGGAAGAAACGUACCCUCGUGAGGGUGCCUGACGGUACUGUAGGAAUAAGCACCGGCUAACUCCGUGCCAGCAGCCGCGGUAAUACGGAGGGGUGCGAGCGUUAUCCGGAUUUAUUGGGUUUAAAGGGUCCGUAGGCGGAUUAAUAAGUCAGUGGUGAAAUCCCAUCGCUUAACGAUGGAACUGCCAUUGAUACUGUUAGUCUUGAAUGAGGGUGCAGUGGUUGGAAUGUGUAGUGUAGCGGUGAAAUGCAUAGAUAUUACACAGAACACCGAUUGCGAAGGCAGAUCACUAACCCCUAAAUUGACGCUGAGGGACGAAAGCGUGGGGAGCGAACAGGAUUAGAUACCCCUGGUAG